RNAcentral lists this long non-coding RNA (808 nucleotides) under Homo sapiens (human). RNAcentral's name for it is "HSALNT0257201". The record is from RNAcentral. Lineage: Eukaryota; Metazoa; Chordata; Mammalia; Primates; Hominidae.
GAGGCAUGAGCUCAGGAUUCCUAAAGCCCUACGGGGCUGAGCAAGGACGGUGCUUUGCGUUUGCCUCCCUUCCCCCAGCCCGCCCGAGAGGGUUUGCUGGGGCAGGGUGGCCCCUGGGACGGGUUCCAGACAGUUCUAGGCGCUCAGGUCCGCAGCUGUGCUACCCCCGCCGCCCGGGACGCCCGGUCCCCGCCAGGGCCCUCUCACUGUAGCUUUAAGGAGGGCUGGGGCCGGGUGCAGCGGCACCUGGAGUCUCGGUGGAACCCGGCAGCGGUGGGCGCGGACCCCGGAGAGGCUGCCCCGAGCCCGAGCACCCCCUGACCGGGCGCUCACCACGGGUGUUGGGACAAGCAGCGGAGCCUGCGGGCUGGAGCCAGGCUCGGACCCUCCGCGCCGGGGCGGGCGGCCGAGCGGACGCAGCUGGCAGUGGCGGCGGGAGAGCGCCCCGGAUCCGCCCGGAGCCCAACCCCGUGGCACUUCGGCUGGCUGGGCAGCGGCGCUGGGGACAACGCGGGGCCUUCUGCAACGAGCGCCUGCGUGGGACUCCAGGGGCCGGCGCCCCGCUCCGCUCCCCCCAGGCCUCAACCCCGCUGGCUACCCGCGCUGAAACCUCACCUGCCGCCGGCUGCAAACGGACUGCGCUCCAGACUUUUGCUGAAGACACUGUCCCCCGCCCCCGCCCCUACGCCAGCGGCAGAGAAGAGAUCCAGGCUGGCCCCGCUCCUGGUUGGUGGGCAGGGCAAGCUGGAGGGGGGGGCAGGUACUAAGUGUUGCUGUGGAAAUAAAAAUCAUUGUAACAGGAGAAUAA